Molecule: ribosomal RNA, 292 nt
Filed under: uncultured Planctomycetota bacterium
Lineage: Bacteria; Pseudomonadati; Planctomycetota
Description: uncultured planctomycete partial 16S ribosomal RNA
Source: RNAcentral
GGACUACCGGGGUAUCUAAUCCCGUUCGCUCCCCUGGCUUUCGCGCCUCAGCGUCAGAAGGGGUCCAGCACGCCGCUUUCGCCACCGGCGUUCCUUCGGAUAUCUACGCAUUUCACCGCUCCACCCGAAGUUCCGCAUGCCCCUACCCCCCUCGAGGCGAGCAGUAUCGGAGGCCGUUUUCCGGUUGGGCCGAAAGAUUUCACCCCCGACUCGCUCGCCCGCCUACGCGCCCUUUAAGCCCAGUGAAUCCGAACAACGUUCGCACGGUUCGUCUUACCGCGGCUGCUGGCAC